RNAcentral lists this ribosomal RNA (216 nucleotides) under uncultured bacterium. Its description in RNAcentral is "partial 16S ribosomal RNA". It matches the Rfam family "Bacterial small subunit ribosomal RNA", at positions 1285 to 1500 of the family's 1533-position model. The record is from RNAcentral.
AUCCCAGUUCGGAUUGCAGGCUGCAACCCGCCUGUAUGAAGUUGGAAUCGCUAGUAAUCGCGGAUCAGCAUGCCGCGGUGAAUACGUUCCCGGGCCCUUGUACACACCGCCCGUCACACCAUGAGAGUCGGGAACACCCGAAGUCCGUAGCCUAACCGCAAGGGGGCGCGGCCGAAGGUGGGUUCGAUAAUUGGGGUGAAGUCGUAACAAGGUAUC